Molecule: unclassified non-coding RNA, 307 nt
Filed under: Tranzscheliella sp.
Lineage: Eukaryota; Fungi; Basidiomycota; Ustilaginomycetes; Ustilaginales; Ustilaginaceae
Description: partial internal transcribed spacer region
Rfam family: Eukaryotic small subunit ribosomal RNA (bases 1-46)
Source: RNAcentral
AAGUCGUAACAAGGUAUCUGUAGGUGAACCUGCAGAUGGAUCAUUUUGAUGGCUUCAAAAGUAAGGGUGGUAAAAGACCUUUGCUUGAGGUGUGGCUUCGCACCUGACUAACUAAAAUUGAGCUAUAUUCAUUUAUACACGGUUGCAUUGUGAAGUCAGGCUGUCAAACAGCGCCGCUGUCAAACACCUGUCAAAAACAAUUUCAACACUUUAGAAUUUUAGGACUUUGUAUGUCCAUUGGGAUGAUAGAAUUGAAAUAGAAUUAGAAAUAAAAAACAACUUUUGGCAACGGAUCUCUUGGUUCUCC